This 468-nucleotide ribosomal RNA is filed under the name uncultured bacterium. Its description in RNAcentral is "partial 16S ribosomal RNA". It matches the Rfam family "Bacterial small subunit ribosomal RNA", at positions 28 to 507 of the family's 1533-position model. The record is from RNAcentral.
GACGAACGCUGGCGGCGUGCUUAACACAUGCAAGUCGAACGGAAAGGCCCUGCUUUUGUGGGGUGCUCGAGUGGCGAACGGGUGAGUAACACGUGAGUAACCUGCCCUUGACUUUGGGAUAACUUCAGGCAGCUGGGGCUAAUACCGGAUAGGAGCUCCUGCUGCAUGGUGGGGGUUGGAAAGUUUCGGCGGUUGGGGAUGGACUCGCGGCUUAUCAGCUUGUUGGUGGGGUAGUGGCUUACCAAGGCUUUGACGGGUAGCCGGCCUGGGAGGGUGACCGGCCACAUUGGGACUGAGAUACGGCCCCGACCCCUACGGGAGGCAGCAGUGGGGAAUAUUGCACAAUGGGCGGGAGCCUGAUGCAGCACCGCCGCGUGCGGGAUGACGGCCUUCGGGUUGUAGACCGCUUUCGCCUGUGACGAAGCGUGAGUGGCGGUAAUGGGUAAAGAAGCACCGGCUUACUUCGUG